Molecule: long non-coding RNA, 1142 nt
Filed under: Phascolarctos cinereus (koala)
Lineage: Eukaryota; Metazoa; Chordata; Mammalia; Diprotodontia; Phascolarctidae
Description: lncRNA (ENSPCIG00000031462.1)
Source: RNAcentral
GUUUCUGGAAGUACCAACUGCGCUCAGACUCAGACUUAGACAAUUCAGUUCAAUUCAAAAAAGAUUUAUGGAACCGACCCGACCCUGAAAAAGACGAUCUGAGAAGAGGGACGGGAGUCUCACCUUUCUCCUUCUUCGCCUCCUCUUUGGACCCCCCAGGCCUCGGGGUGUAGGCAUGAGGAGCUCGGAAAGCCGGGGUCCCCGGUCUUGGGGUUCGAGGAACCGGAGCCGUCUGGGUUGCGGGUCGUGAGGUGGAGCCCCUAGCCCCCAGCUCCUCUGUUCCAUCUGGGGCUGGCUGAGUCCCGGGCCCGGCGGGGUCAUCAACUACAGGGAAUGAACUGCAAGAAUGAGUCAGACUGGGACAAAUCGCUGGGGUCCAGCAACACUGAUAACUCCCAGGCUUCUCUGCUCCGGAUUCUGUUCCUGGACGUGCAGAAUGUGCUAUGCCCCCGGUGCCGCAACAGGAGGAGGAAUGCUCGGUGCCAGAGAUCGAUCGAGGAGUGUACGGACCAGUGCUCGACUGCGCACGAUGACAGGAGCGAAGACUUAGACCAGAACCAAGACAGGGACAGGGACAGGGACCUGGACUGGGAUGGGGAUGGAGAAGAGGACGGUGAUGGGGACGGGGACGGGGACGGGGACACCUCCACGUGUUGGGUUCAGUACUUAAGCCGAGACCACCACCGCUCUAACCAGAGCCGCUCCCUUUCUUCCGAGUCCCCUCGGACAAGGCAAAGAGCGUCCUUCGGCUUGCAGUGGCUUCAUCCUCUGGAGCUGGCUCUGUAUGUAGCUGAUCUCUUCUCCCCUGGUUCCAGCAUGGUUGCCUUGCUGAAGCUGCCCAGGCUGAAGGAACCAUACUCAUUGUCACUACCAUGGAUUUCCAGUUCAGCCAGGGUUGAAGAUCAGGAAGGAUGGGGAUGAAGGCCCAGAUGGUCCUGGUGUGAGCGUGGUGGGGGGAGGAGAGGAGGCUCUAGUGAUCUUGGUAAGUCCUGCCCAGUUACUCUCUAUUUCCAGGGCUCCUGUUGUGCCCAUGUAGGUUAUGUGUGUCCACAUGGGUCUGUUUAGAUCUGACUUGCCAGGAGGCAAGAAUAGGUAUUUGUAGAGUCUACCUCCACCCUUAUCCAAGGGAGACUGUUCCUGUG